AUCACAAAUAAAUGUAUCUUUACACGAAAAUGUACAGAUAUGUAAUAUACGUCUAUACUAACACUACCAAAAAAAUUCAUAUUUUUUUGAAACUGAUUUUCAUGAAAUUUGAACUAUAGGGAACAUUGGAUCUCGGGAACCAAAGUGGGUUUCCUGUGUGGGCUCGCACUUCUUUUCUUCUCGUCCUGGAUGGGCCUUUACCUUGCCAAAAUGCCAAUGCAAGUAAGGCCUACGUUGUACCAACAAGCUUCAGCCAUCCACGAGGCCCAAGCCCAUACACCGAAGCUUUGUCCGCUUCGUGACCGCAAUCAGAAUGUGACACAAACACAAUAUUCCGGGUCCUUGUCCAGAAUCCCUAUUCCCUUUGUGCUAGAAUCCUCAAAACCAGAUAUUUCCCUAGAUGCGAUGUUUUGGAGGCGACACCAACCGCGGGCAUUUCAUAUACUUGGAGAAGCAUUUUGAAAGGGAUUCAUACUCUGAAAUUGGGCCUGAUUUGGCGCGUGGGAGUUGGUCGAACUAUAAAAAUCUGGGAGGACCCAUGGAUUCCGAGAGACAGCACUAGGAAACCAAUUACGCCGAGAGGUAAUUCUAAUUAUCCGUCCUUGGUGUCUGAUCUGAUUGCCCCGCUGUGUGGAGUUUGGGAUGAACAUCUCAUCAGGCAUGUUUUUUGGGAGGAGGAUGCUGACUUGAUUCUUAAAAUUCCAAUCCACCUUGCCUUCAGUGAUGUAGUGGCAUGGCAUCCUGAUCCAAAAUGGCUCUUUUCUGUAAAAUCCGCUUACCACUUAACUGCUGCCAACGAAGAAAAAGAGAGUACUAACGGGGGCGGCGGCUCUGCUAGCGAGCUGGGGGGUCAAAUUUUGUGGAAUAAGCUCUGGAAUUCUUGCGUCCCUAACAAGACCAAACAUUUUCUCUGGAGGCUGGCCCAUAACACGAUUGCAGUGAGAAUGAACCUGAGAUAUAAAGGCAUGGACAUCGAUUCUAAUUGUUUGUUCUGUAGUUGCAAGUUUGAAGACACAGGCCAUCUGCUGUUCAAGUGUAAGCAAGUGAGACAGUUGUGGAGAGGUCUUGGUAUGGAGGAAGAGAGGCUUGUGUUCAGUACGAAAACCAAUGCCCAUGAUGUUUUUGAGAUCCUUCUGAAUAUGAAUUAUGGUAAGCUUGCCCUGGUUGCCUUCCUGUUGUGGAACCGGUGGCUGCAAAGAAAUAAAGUGCGGGAUGGCGAGUCCUUGCGCCCUGUCGAAGACCUUAUUUUCUCUGUCAGAAAUCAAACCAGCUCCUUUUUGGAAACUUCUGAGAAAACCAACAGCAGAAGCAGCAGACUCUUAACAAUGUGGCAGAAACCUAAGAUGGGGUGGAUUAAAAUUAACUCUGAUGGAUCCUUUAUUGCGGAAUCUAACAGUGGAGGCUAGGGUGCUGUUCUGCGAGACUGCAAUGGAGAUGUGGUGGCGUGCGGGGCUGGGAAUCGAACUCAUUUGCUGAGUGCUCUUCAGUCUGAAACUCUGGCUGCUAAUCAAGGCGUGAAGAUGGCCAUCGAGCUGGGCAUCCAGAGAAUUGUGCUGAAAACUGACUCUUUGAUCCUCAAGGCAACUCUGCUCUCAUCGACCACUGACAAGUCUCUUAUUUCUAUGGUGAUUGAAGAAACCAAGGAGCUCCUGGCCUCUCUUUUUUCUAAUUUCCAAGUUGUUAAUUGUGGUAGGAGCUGUAACUCUGUAGCACACAGUUUGGCUUCUGUUGGAUCAAGCUUCGUCCACCGGUUAAUGCAUCUUUGCAUUCCAAAAAGGUGUCCAAGGAACUUGCAUCUUGGCAUUUCUGAUUAGACAGAUGUGACCACUUCACUAUCCCAGUACCAACAAAUAUUUUUCUUACA
Brachypodium distachyon (stiff brome) is the source of this 1864-nucleotide RNA transcript. RefSeq lists it as uncharacterized. The transcript is spliced from 2 exons. The record is from RefSeq and is a predicted model, not a curated record. Lineage: Eukaryota; Viridiplantae; Streptophyta; Magnoliopsida; Poales; Poaceae.